CCUACGGGAGACAGCAGUGAGGAAUAUUGGUCAAUGGGCGAGAGCCUGAACCAGCCAAGUCGCGUGAGGGAGUACUGCCCUAUGGGUUGUAAACCUCUUUUGUCGGGGAGCAAAAGCCGGACGUGUCCGGCUGUGAGAGUACCCGAAGAAAAAGCAUCGGCUAACUCCGUGCCAGCAGCCGCGGUAAUACGGAGGAUGCGAGCGUUAUCCGGAUUUAUUGGGUUUAAAGGGUGCGCAGGCGGAUUUUUAAGUCAGCGGUAAAAUCGUGGGGCUCAACCCCAUCCAGCCGUUGAAACUGGGGAUCUAGAGUGUGCGAGAGGUAUGCGGAAUGCGUGGUGUAGCGGUGAAAUGCAUAGAUAUCACGCAGAACCCCGAUUGCGAAGGCAGCAUACCGGUGCACAACUGACGCUCAGGCACGAAAGCGUGGGUAUCGAACAGGAUUAGAUACCCUGGUAGUC
RNAcentral lists this ribosomal RNA (458 nucleotides) under uncultured bacterium. RNAcentral describes it as "partial 16S ribosomal RNA". It matches the Rfam family "Bacterial small subunit ribosomal RNA", at positions 338 to 795 of the family's 1533-position model. The record is from RNAcentral.